This 396-nucleotide ribosomal RNA is filed under the name uncultured bacterium. RNAcentral's name for it is "partial 16S ribosomal RNA". It matches the Rfam family "Bacterial small subunit ribosomal RNA", at positions 523 to 918 of the family's 1533-position model. The record is from RNAcentral.
AUACGUAGGUGACAAGCGUUAUCCGGAUUUACUGGGCGUAAAGGGCGUGUAGGCGGUCUUGCAAGUCAGAAGUGAAAUUCCUGAGCUCAACUCGGGCGCUGCUUCUGAAACUGUAUCCCUUGAGUAUCGGAGAGGCAGGCGGAAUUCCUUGUGUAUGGGGGGAAUGCGUAGAUAUUAGGAGGAACACCAGUGGGGAAGGCGGCCUGCUGGACGACAACUGACGCUGAGGCGCGAAAGCGUGGGGAGCAAACAGGAUUAGAUACCCUGGUAGUCCACGCUGUAAACGAUGAAUACUAGGUGUGGGGGGACUGACCCCCUCCGUGCCGCAGUUAACACAAUAAGUAUUCCACCUGGGGAGUACGAUCGCAAGAUUGAAACUCAAAUGAAUUGACGGGG